This is a long non-coding RNA of Frieseomelitta varia, 2437 nucleotides long. RefSeq lists it as uncharacterized. Lineage: Eukaryota; Metazoa; Arthropoda; Insecta; Hymenoptera; Apidae. The transcript has 3 exons. The record is from RefSeq and is a predicted model, not a curated record.
GCAACGUUAAUACAGAAUAUAUACUACGCGACCGACGAUCAGUAUCGUGAUCGGAUUCGCUAUUUUUCCGGAGCAACGUGAUCAAUCUCUCUUUAAUCAGAAAUGAGCACGCCGGUGAAGAAGGUCCCCAUUCACCUGCAGGCACCGCGGUGGCUCGAAGGCAAUAUUUAGAAGGAGACAGAAGAGCUGUAAGGCAGAAAGUAAACACAGAUAGAUACGGGUGUUCCCUGCGUCACUAUUAAAACCGAAAGUUUUUCGUCGCACCGUCGUGACGAUCGCAAGGUUGCUGCCUUAUUGAUCGGAGCGUCUUGGCGCCCGGCACCAGUCUAUCUCGCGGAAAAGGGAACUUGCACAAGAACGCAGAUGAGGUCUCAGUUCACGGGCCGUGUAAACGAAAGUGUGAUCCUUCAGGGGCUGGUAGCGUUUCACUUUCCAGCCUGUGACGCUAAGUUCUUCAGAAACUCUUCGAAUGAAAAUGACGUAAAGAAAUAUUGAAUCGUGAAGACGAUCGUUAUUAUUCAGAUUCUACGUCGAUUGCUUUCUUGUACAUGAAGAUACAAUUCAUCGCUUAUCGAAGCGUGGGAACGAGAAAGUGUAUUUCAGCAUACAAUCGUAGCAUAGAUUCGACGUAAGUAUUAAUGCGUAUGUCUUUCGUUUCUCUCCAAACAAUUUCGCCAAUUUAUAUUAAGUUAACUCGUUGCAUAACGCGUGAGAAUUUCCCAACUGAAAGAUGAAACUAUGCAGAAGAUGCUCCGAUGAUACCAAGCUUCGUUCCGAUCGAAAAGUGAAAUACGAAUGUCUGGUCGUUGGAUUAGGAUCACUCAAAAUUCCCAACUGAUUCGGAUUGCAUUAAGGAAUUCUAACUCGCUGAGGUUACCUAUUUGUCACGUCGCUGCCUUUGAUCCUUUACUUUUAUAAAUAUUCUGAGAAGAGUAGAGACGUAUCUUCCAGGCAAUUUCUCAACGAACGAACUGUUUCGAAAAAAAUCUCAGUUGAAUAAAUUAUUUCAAAAGAAGCUACAACUGUCCAAUUGACUGGAGCAGCGCAUGUAUUGUACAUAAUAUUGGUGAAAAAUUGAUCAAGCGUUUUAGAGAAACUUUACUAUUUGGUUCAGUGAGGAUUUAUUUGGAGAAACGACAUUUAUCAAUCGGAAUAAUUGGACAAUCAUUAAGAAUUUCGACAAUUCGUGCAAUGUGUAUCACAAUUGAAGAGAAGUUUCUGUACGCGAUUCUAAUUCGACGAUCGCUGUAUACUGUACACCCAGUGUCUGAUUGUAAAGCUCGGCAAAAAUCGAUAAACCGGAAAAGGCAUAAUACGGUGGGUGGUACGUGACGGUAAUUCGUACACGCUUGGGAAAAUCGGUACGGCACUGGGACCCGUGUGCUGGUGGAUUGGUAUAGAGGCACGGGGAACGCGGGCUCCACCGGCGAAUCAAUAGUUCGUCGACACUACGUCCGACCUGAAGUCGGAAAAACCACCACGGGGCUCGAUUUUACGAGCGUGUGCGCUCGCUUUCGACGACGACCAGACGGGGAGAUCCUCCGUUUCGCGUUCGCUCUGCACGCUCUGAGAGCUGCGGGAUGGUUUCCACGAGCAAAAAUAAACCGUCACUGACAUUUUUGCUCGUGCCUUUUAUCUCCGGCUAGAGGAUGCAGAAGAUUUGAAGCAGCUGACUUUCGCGAAGGUACGUCCGGACAACUCGAUGCUCUAUAAAGGCUGUGUAGCCUGUUCUUUUGAAACAAUAGCCAGCUGAAGUUUUAAUAGAGUCGACUCUACGAUAACAAGAACGAUAUAAAAAAUCGUUUACAAUCUCUCGCCGAGCCGUGAGUACAGAGUCUUCAGAUCUCGAGGAGUUUCUCUGAAACAUUUUCGAUGUUUCCUGCCUCGUUGAAGACGUUGAAAGGAGAAAAAGGUUGACCGUUUGUUCAGAGAAAGAGACGCAGAGAAAAGCACCCACGAACGGGAUAACGGUCCUGUUGAUUGAGAAUUUCAUCGAAUCGGCUGGCCCCUCUCGAGCCCUCUCAUCAAUCCUCAAAGUUCUGCGUUUCCAUUGACGACAAGUGGUUUCCACGCGGAGUGGCGUGUGCUCGCUCGUUGCCGUCUGUUUGUCUUCUCACCGAGAACUUGAACGGCGAAUUUAGUCGAAUGGAAGUCGGUCAGCUGAAAAUGUAAAUUACCGGCGUUAUUCCGACGCGGACGUAAAUAGACACCGGGAAGCCAGGUGCAAGCCACAUCGGCCGCGUCCGCCGCGGUUUAUCGCGCGAAUUGAAAUUGGAGCAGCUUGCCGGAUCGGUAUUAACCCUUUCUCGUCUCUUUCUCCUCUCCCCUUCGAUUGCACAAGUGCAAGGACAGAGCAGAUACACGCAGACGGAUUCUACAGCUUAAGUAUAUUCCAUCGUUCGUCCGUUCAUCGCGUGUUGACGCAGAGUGUCGUUCC